UUCUGUCACCUACCCGUCUCCGUCUCACAAAGGCCUCGCAGCCACAGUUAACAGGCUAAGUCAUGUUUUGUUAUCCACUUUGGUUCCUAAUUUCUUACAUUCUAUUAAUGAUCAUUUUUACAGCAGGACUCUUUAGCAGUAUUGCCUACAGACUCCAACGUCAUGCAUACCAGAGACAAGCCUUACCAACCUACCGUCUUAACUUUUAUGCUUUCAGAUGGGGGAGUAAUCACCUCUCAUAACUCCACUCCUCCUAACCCCACGUUUAAUUUUCAGAAUUCUGCCUUACCGUGGAAAUGUUUCUACCUCAACAUGGUCCUGAUAGAAUGAUAUGUCUAAAUCAAAGGCACCUUUCCUUCUACCUCACCUGGGUCCUUAAAUAUGACAGUGCCAUGUCUCCUCAUAACAUCUUGUCUCUUUGUUUUUCCAGUCUGACAUAUGUGCAUUCACCAGUGAAGUUGUCCUGGCCAAAACACCUGGCACCAGCGUCUACCUGGGCAUCAACCUUCAUCCUGUCGACUCCCCUAGGCUCCAGUACAGCGCCCUUUGCCAGCAGGAAGUAGUUAAAGAGAGAAAUCUUCGCCCCUUUUCAUAAUAAUAACCAUAAGACGGGAUAUGAAAGGUUUUGGCUCAGACAGGACACUGUAGCCAGGAAAGCCACAACCGGAAGCAGGAAGCCCCAUCUUGCCCUGCCCCUAGGAAGUUACCUGUGACGCCAUCUUCCCGCCCCUGGGAAUUUACAUAUGGCGCCAAACCUAGGACCAAUGGGCUACCUGUGUAUCCGUAAUGCCCGCCUUAGGUUCCACCCCAAACCGAGGCUAUUUACAGGCCCCCACGCCAUGUGUCCGCCGGAGAGAUCGCCGGAUGCCAGCGGUGGGGUUGCCAGUCAUCUCUCUCCGUGUUCUCAGAAUAAAGGCUGCUUUUUAUUUUAUAUUUCUCAUCUUUUGUUAAUAUUUUUCAUCUUUUGGAAAUAACUCUAUCAGGGGCAACAGGAGAGACCGGAGUCCAAGAAGGGGCGAACGCUUCAGGAUAAUGAUAGAAGCUCCUGAAGCCCAUGGAAAGGACGACCGAAAGGUCUGAGGAGCUUAGAAAAUGUCACAUGAGAGACACAAAGGAAUGCCAUGCACAUGCGGGAAUGUGCCAUGAGCCGCUGGCACACCAGGAAGGUCAGAGACACUGGACGGGGACUCGCAGAGGGAAGUGAGGGCUCAGCAGACCAGGGAGACCGAAGGAACGAAUCACCGUCCUUCAGUCACCCUCCUUCAGCGCCCAAAGAAGGAAAAAGUCCGGAAUGCUACGCCCAGGAGAGCAAUCCGCCAGAACAGGGGCAAAAUAAAGACACAUCCAGACAAACGAAUUGGAAAGACUCACAAAUACCAUUCUCAUAGAGAAACGCUAACCAAUCUGCCCCUGAAAUCCAGUGUGAUCAUCUGCACGGCGGUCCAGCAACGUGAUGAGGCUGGGGAGAGAAAUGCAGGCUUCCGGCGGGGAAAGAAGGAGUGAAACGGUUUUUAGGCACAGAGUGACUUUUUCCUACACAGAAAAUCCUACAGGAUCUAAAAGGCAAUUGCUACAACUAUUGGUGAGUUUUGCAAAAUGAAGAACCCAAUAUCAAUAUGAAAAGUCAGUUUAUUACCUUAUACAUUUUCAGCAAAUGACAGGAAAGUGACAUUCAAAUAACAAUUGCUUUUGUAACAAAAUUUAAAAACUAAAUAGGCUAUGUAUUUUCAUGUCAGGCUUCUCUAUACUGCAAAUGAAAUUUUUAUUUUUAUUAAAACAGUCUUGGGGAGAGAACUUGACGAGAAUUUCAAUGAGAGAGAAGGUGCUGCUGGAUCCCAGAGGGAGAGGCCCUGUGGCAGGUGGGAGGCUGAUGGUCACAGGGUCCGGACUGGUGAGAGGCCAGCUUCCCUAGAUUAACCGCAGACUCAAAGCUGUUCCGAUCAAAAUCCCAGGAAGAAUUUUAUGGAAAUCUUUAAGUUGCUCUUAAAACUUGUUUGGAAGUGCAAGAGCUCAAAAAUAGAAAAAGCAGAAUCCCGAAGAACAGAACUGGAGGAGUCGGACUGCCGACUGCAAGCCAUGCCUCUAGGCUGCAGGAAUUCCAGGCAGAGUUUGGGUUGAGCACGACAAGUCAUCUGGUGUACAGCACCAGGGUCCAAAGCAGAUCCUGGGUAUCAUCUAGAGGCCUUGGCAGCAGCACCCGAAGUUCAGGAGGAGGGAAGACACCGCUGAUGGAUGCCUAGAGGGGCGAGGAGCCUCUUCCUGGGGCCCCACAAGGAGCUCCGUGCAGACGAAUUGAGUCUAAGCCAUGCAGCAAAGAUGCAGAACUUGUGGCGGAGACAGGAGAUCAGCCCUGCCUAAGCAGCCCACCUGCCAAAAUCAAUCCAAAUUGGGUCCAAAAAUCAAAAAGACACCAGAGAACUUAAGGGGAAAAAACCGCCACGCGUUUAUUUUAGCUGGCCAGUGAUGUAGUCCCUAGUAGCAAGUAGGAGACUAGCGCCCUGACUGGGAGGAGUCUGGGGUAUUUAAAACCUAAAACCACAGGAAUUUGCUUUGUUACAGGGUAUCUUGAGGGACAUCAGGUAAUAGUUACACAGCUGAGACCACAGGGAAAAACACUCUGGGGGGAUGUUUUGAGGUUAUUUAUGACUUGGGAAGUUUCCAGGUUAUUUACAACUCUGGGGGAAGUUUUGAGGUUAUCUCCUGUUAAUGGUUGUACAAACAUUCAUGGGAAAUUUUAACCACAAGGGUUCAGUUACAGGUCAACCAGGUUUAGCACAGUUUUUUUUUAUAGCUUACAACACUGACUUUGGAGAGGCAGCAGUGUCCUGCAAACAAAGGCUACCUCUGGAGGAGAAGAGGUUGAAGUUUACUUCUGCAAAACAAGACAAACAGAAAGCGGCCUACUGGCAUGGGAAGACAUAAUUAAGAUGCUAAAUGACCAGGCACAUGUAGAGAAAUCUUUGUGGUUCACAGAUCCGCCCAAGAUGUUGCGUCCAGAUUAAAGGACAGUGAUCAAGACCCAGAAAGAGCACUUUGAGACCCUUCAGAAAACAUAAAGUGAAACUGUGGUAAGAACAUGAAAAGGCAGGAAAGGCAGAUGUCAUGGUUUAUGUCUGUGUCCCCAGGCCUCAUGACUUUGCAUUGUGCAUUUGGUUCAUUGUCUAGUGCUUGGAUUGAUGGUGUCAGUGCUACACCCACAAAGGGGUGGAGCCAGGAUGUGAUGUAAUGGCAGGAAGAAGGUGUGACUUGCUCUUUGCUGGUUCCUGCUUGCUGUUUGCAGCCACCAUGAACUGCGCCCCAGCCAUGCCCGCCUGCCUUGGAGCCAAUUGAAACCUCCAAAAACUGGGGUUACAAUUAAGAGUUUGCCAUAGAUCUUGGAGAAAACUUGGGACUUGGACUAUUCAGCAAUGCUGAAGCUCUUAGGACUUUGGCAACUCUUGGAGGUAGACUAAAUGUCUUUUGAUAAAGGAUGUACAUGAGUCCUGGGGGCCAGGGGUGGAAUGUCAUGGUUUAUGUCUGUGUCCCCCAGGCCUCAUGCGUUUGCACUGUGCAUUUGUGAUGGUUCAUUGUCUAGUGCUUGGAUUGAUGGUGUCAGAGCUACACCCACAAAGGGGUGGAGCCAGGAUGUGAUGUAAUGGCAGGAAGAAGGUGUGUCUUGCUCUUUGCUGGUUCCUGCUUGCUGUUUGCAGCCACCAUGAACUGCGCCCCAGCCAUGCCCGCCUGCCUUGGAGCCAAUUGGAACCUCCAAAAACUAUAACUGAGGACGGACAGACCGAGGAUGGACGGACAGGCCGAGGAUGGACGGACUGACCAAGGACAGAAGGACUGAGGACAGACUGACCGAGGACGGACAGUCCAGUGAUGCUGAGUGCUGUGAGGUGGUGACUGCCUGGCCAUCAACAGCCUCUGAGAUCCUCAGACAUCACCCCAUGCUCGGGCACUGUGAUGCCCUCUCUUCCUCCUCCCCUCUGCCCAUCUCAUACACACGCUGAAGACACAUACGAGGCUCCAAGUCUUUCUCCGCGUAUGUGCGGUGAUCUCGCUCACUGGCGUGGCCGGGGGCACAGGGUGGGAAGACGAGCCUGCCUGCUGCAGAUGGUGUGAGUUGGACUCUUCACCCCAGCAGCCUGGUCCCCACUGUGGGAAGGGACAGUCUCGGUAGAGCGCACUGUCUGCAAUGUGACGCUGUGCUGGGGACAGCAGCCAGGAGGAGGAGGGACACAGGCAGGUGCGACUCUUUCCACAGCAGGGUGAGGACAGGACUGAGCCUGGGGCGGGGCCUCGGGGCAGCCUGCCCAGCAGCAGCGGCUGUACAGCAGGUGCAGGAGGUCUUGGCCAAGGUCCCCAGACUGUGUCUUGGGAUGACCUGAUGGCUGUGCAGGAUGACGACCGUCACAGUGUCCUUCCUGGGGUCAAUAGAGUGCAUGCACUAGG
Molecule: long non-coding RNA, 4434 nt
Organism: Cavia porcellus (domestic guinea pig)
Lineage: Eukaryota; Metazoa; Chordata; Mammalia; Rodentia; Caviidae
Exons: 4
Source: RefSeq, a predicted model, not a curated record